Non-coding RNA from Vicia faba (fava bean), 267 nucleotides. NCBI's taxonomy places the organism in Eukaryota, Viridiplantae, Streptophyta, Magnoliopsida, Fabales, Fabaceae. The record is from the annotation of a GenBank genome assembly.
AUGCUUCGGACUACUAAAAAAUACAAUUUAGUGAAGGAAAUUAGAGGGAAACUGAAAAAGCAAAAUGCCAGAUCCAGAGAAGUAGAACGGAGGAUUACACACAAUCCCGAAUCAAAAACCGCAGAAGCCCUAAUUGAGAUAUCGCAAGAAGAAAAUUUUCAUUCACGGGUUCUCAAUCAAGCAAUCAAGAACCAGGAUUUGUUAGGGCAAAGAAAUAAUAAACGAAAAAACCCUAAAACUCCAAAGAUUCACCUUCUCAAGGUUUAG